GAUGAAGAACUUAGCGAAAUGCGAUAAGUAAUGCGAAUUGCAGAAUUCAGUGAGUCAUCGAAUCUUUGAACGCACAUUGCGCCCUGUGGUAUUCCGCAGGGCAUGCCUGUUCGAGCGUCAUUUCAACCCUCAAGCUCUGCUUGGUGUUGGGCCCUGCCCGCUGCGGCCGGCCCUAAAGACAGUGGCGGUGCCGCCUGGCCCUGAGCGUAGUACAUCUCUCGCUCCAGUGCCCGGUGGUAGCCUGCCAGAACCCCAACUCUCGUGGUUGACCUCGGAUCAGGUAGGGAUACCCGCUGAACUUAAGCAUAUCAAUAAGCGGAGGA
This 323-nucleotide unclassified non-coding RNA is filed under the name soil metagenome. Its description in RNAcentral is "partial contains 5.8S ribosomal RNA, internal transcribed spacer 2, and large subunit ribosomal RNA". The stretch from base 1 to 120 matches the Rfam family "5.8S ribosomal RNA", at positions 35 to 154 of the family's 154-position model. The record is from RNAcentral.